UACGUAGGUGGCGAGCGUUAUCCGGAAUUAUUGGGCGUAAAGAGCGCGCAGGUGGUUGAUUAAGUCUGAUGUGAAAGCCCACGGCUUAACCGUCGAGGGUCAUUGGAAACUGGUCGACUUGAGUGCAGAAGAGGGAAGUGGAAUUCCUAGUGUAGCGGUGAAAUGCGUAGAUAUUAGGAGGAACACCAGUGGCGAAGGCGACUUUCUGGCCUAACCCUGACGCUUAGGCGCGAAAGCGUGGGGAGCAAACAGGAUUAGAUACCCGUGUAGUCCCU
RNAcentral lists this ribosomal RNA (275 nucleotides) under uncultured prokaryote. Its description in RNAcentral is "partial 16S ribosomal RNA". It matches the Rfam family "Bacterial small subunit ribosomal RNA", at positions 524 to 798 of the family's 1533-position model. The record is from RNAcentral.